This 73-nucleotide transfer RNA is filed under the name Octopus sinensis (East Asian common octopus). Its description in RNAcentral is "tRNA-Tyr". It matches the Rfam family "tRNA". From Rfam's summary of the family: Transfer RNA (tRNA) molecules are approximately 80 nucleotides in length. Their secondary structure includes four short double-helical elements and three loops (D, anti-codon, and T loops). Further hydrogen bonds mediate the characteristic L-shaped molecular structure. tRNAs have two regions of fundamental functional importance: the anti-codon, which is responsible for specific mRNA codon recognition, and the 3' end, to which the tRNAs corresponding amino acid is attached (by aminoacyl-tRNA synthetases). tRNAs cope with the degeneracy of the genetic code in two manners: having more than one tRNA (with a specific anti-codon) for a particular amino acid; and 'wobble' base-pairing, i.e. permitting non-standard base-pairing at the 3rd anti-codon position. Lineage: Eukaryota; Metazoa; Mollusca; Cephalopoda; Octopoda; Octopodidae. The record is from RNAcentral.
CUCGCGAUAGCUCAGUUGGUAGAGCGGAGGACUGUAGAUCCUUAGGUCGGUGGUUCGAAUCCGUCUCUCGAGU